Molecule: ribosomal RNA, 1336 nt
Filed under: metagenome
Description: bacterial LSU rRNA
Rfam family: Bacterial large subunit ribosomal RNA
Source: RNAcentral
UAGUAGCGAAGUUCCUGAUGUCACACUGCCAAGAAAAGCUUCUAGUGAGAAAGUAACUGCCCGUACCGCAAACCGACACAGGUAGUUGAGGAGAGAAUCCUAAGGUGUGCGAGAGAACUCUCGUUAAGGAACUCGGCAAAAUGACCCCGUAACUUCGGGAGAAGGGGUGCUGACCGCAAGGUCAGCCGCAGUGAAUAGGCCCAAGCGACUGUUUAUCAAAAACACAGGUCUCUGCAAAAUCGAAAGAUGACGUAUAGGGGCUGACGCCUGCCCGGUGCUGGAAGGUUAAGAGGAGAGGUUAGCGCAAGCGAAGCUUUGAAUUGAAGCCCCAGUAGACGGCGGCCGUAACAAUAACGGUCCUAAGGUAGCGAAAUUCCUUGUCGGGUAAGUUCCGACCCGCACGAAAGGCGUAACGAUUUGGGCACUGUCUCAACGAGAGACUCGGUGAAAUUAUAGUACCAGUGAAGAUGCUGGUUACCCGCGACAGGACGGAAAGACCCCAUGGAGCUUUACUGCAGUUUGAUAUUGCGUGUUUGUAUCACAUGUACAGGAUAGGUAGGAGCCGAAGAUACCGGGACGCCAGUCUCGGAGGAGGCAACGGUGGGAUACUACCCUUGUGAUAUGACCACUCUAACCCGCUGCUCUUAGCGAGCAGGGAGACAGUGUCAGACGGGCAGUUUGACUGGGGCGGUCGCCUCCAAAAAUGUAACGGAGGCGCCCAAAGGUUCCCUCAGAAUGGUUGGAAAUCAUUCGUAGAGUGUAAAGGCAGAAGGGAGCUUGACUGCGAGACCUACAAGUCGAGCAGGGACGAAAGUCGGGCUUAGUGAUCCGGUGGUUCCGCAUGGAAGGGCCAUCGCUCAACGGAUAAAAGCUACCCUGGGGAUAACAGGCUUAUCUCCCCCAAGAGUUCACAUCGACGGGGAGGUUUUGGCACCUCGAUGUCGGCUCAUCGCAUCCUGGGGCUGUAGUCGGUCCCAAGGGUUGGGCUGUUCGCCCAUUAAAGCGGUACGCGAGCUGGGUUCAGAACGUCGUGAGACAGUUCGGUCCCUAUCCGUCGCGGGCGUUGGAAAUUUGAGAGGAGCUGUCCUUAGUACGAGAGGACCGGGAUGGACACACCGCUGGUGUACCAGUUGUUCUGCCAAGAGCAUCGCUGGGUAGCUAUGUGUGGACGGGAUAAACGCUGAAAGCAUCUAAGCGUGAAGCCCCCCUCAAGAUGAGAUUUCCCAUCACUUUAAGUGAGUAAGACCCCUGAGAGAUGAUCAGGUAGAUAGGUUGGGAGUGGAAGUACAGCGAUGUAUGGAGCGGACCAAUACUAAUCGGUCGAGGACUUAACCGA